Molecule: long non-coding RNA, 513 nt
Organism: Populus euphratica (Euphrates poplar)
Lineage: Eukaryota; Viridiplantae; Streptophyta; Magnoliopsida; Malpighiales; Salicaceae
Exons: 2
Source: RefSeq, a predicted model, not a curated record
AAACAUCGAACAUACUUUGGGGCAAUGUUUUAUCUUGAAACUUUCUAUUGGGAGGAGGUAAUUAAUUGUGAAAUUCAAUCCAUUGUAAGUCAUAACGAAGAGGAAACAAGUGGAUUUUUCUUCUUUAGAUAAUAAAUGAAUCUUCAAGACAAAGAUAAAAGUUGAAAAUAUUGACAAACAAACGGGCUAAGUGAUUAACUUACCCCCCAGCCCCAAAUCCCCUUUGCCCUCGUUCAAGACUCUCAACCCUAGCACCAGCAGCUAGUUCCACUCUCUCUAUCUUUCUCAAAACACCUUUUUUUUUUGUUCUUUACUUCGUCUGCGGGUCUGCCUCUGAUUGUCUUCUUCUUUUGUGCUUUCUUUAUCAGCAACCCAACCGUUGAGCACAUCAUUGGGUGAAAAAGCUAUUUGCGGCGUGAAGAGAUUGAAUUGGUAUUUAAAUUGGCAUAUUCCUCUGUUUUAGCUGGCAAAUAUAUAGAAUAAAAUGGCAUGCUUGACUCUUGGAGUAAUGAA